AUUCCUAAUGGUGACUACUAAUUAUUUCAGAAUUGGAGGAAGACUUGCCUUCCUGUUACAGCUGCCUGGAUUGCUGGAGUCUGAUUCAUACCUAGCCAUUGAAGUCAGCCUUUGACCAGAGAAUCCCUAAGCCAUGGAUUCUUUCUGGCUUUGGAAGAUGGGACAGAAGAUGUAGAUGGUUAACCAUCCCCCAAGGAUGGAGGAUCUCACUACCCUUCACACCCAGGGAUGACCUCAUCAUUAGCUCUAAUAUGAAGUCUAAUGCUUCCAGUUGCAUAAGUUGGGGCAAAGUACUUACUCUCUCUAGGGUUCACAUUUUUCAUGGUAAAUGAUGUCUAUGAUAGAGGGGUUACUGCUGGGACUAAAGACAGAAAACAGGCCAACGGCAUUCUCCAGUGGCUUACAGACAAGCAGUGCCUGAUGUAUUUUGGGUCCUCCAUAUCACUUUUUAAAAAAAUUAUGGUAAGAACACUUAACAUGAGAUCUGCCCACUUAAGAAAUGUCUAAGUGUACAACACAGUAUUGUUAUCUAUAGGUACAACGUUGUACCGCAGAUCUAUAGAACUUGCUCGUCUUGCCUAACUGCAACUUUAUGCCCUUUGAAUAGCAACACAUCAAUUUCCUCCCACUCUCAACCCCCGGCAACCACCUUUCUACUCUCGCUCCUGUGAGUUUGACUAUUUUAGAUGCCUCAUGCUACAUUUGUCUUUCUGUAACUGGCUUAUUUCACUAAACACAGUGUCAUCCAGGUUCAUCCAUUCUGCUGCAUAUUUCAUGGUUUCCUUUUUUGUUCAGGCUGAAUAAUAUUCUAUUGUAUGAAUAUACCAUAUUUUCUUUAUCCAUUUUUUUUUUUUUUUUUGUGAGAUAGAGCCUCACUCUGUCAACCCAGGCUGGAGAGUAGUGGUAUGAUCUCGGCUCACUGAAACCUCUGCCUACUGGGUUCAAGCAAUUCUCCUGCCUCAGCCUCCUAAGUAGCUGAAACUACAAGUGCACACCACCACAUCCAGCUAAUCUUUGUAUUUUUAGUAGAGAUGAGGUUUCACCAUGUUGGCCAGGCUAGUCUCAAACUCCUGACCUCAGGUGAUCCACCCAUCUCGACCUCCCAAAGUUCUGGAAUUACAGGCAUGAGCCACCACGCCCGGCUUCCUUCCACUCUUUCAGCAAUGGACAUUUAGGUUAUCUCUAUACCUUGGCUAUUGUGAGUAGUGAUGCAAUGAACACGGGAGAGCAAAUAUCUCUCUGAGGUCUUGAUUUUGAUGAUUUUGGAUAAAUACCCAGAAGUGGGAUUGCUUCCACUGGUAGUUCUAUUUUUAAUUUUUUUCGUUGUCCUCCACAGAUUUCUCUAACACAUGCUUCUAACUUCAAAUUUCUUUACUCAUAGCACGGAUUCCAGUACCGAUCCACUCUCAAUGCUGCCCAUUUCUGUAUUUUUCUGACAAUUUCCAAGUAUUUUAUGAAUAAGUAUCUCUUUUCUUGGCUAAUGGAUAGAACUGAAAUUGCUUUAUAACUACCAGUGGUGACUGUGAUGGGAAGGAUGACAGCUGAUGCUAAAAAAUUAACACUGAACUUCAGAGUGGUAGCAAAAAAAUGAGGGUUAUUUCAGAAACCACAAUUUAUAAACAACAGACUUCCUAACAGGCUAGAACAAUAAGAAAGUAAAAUUGUGGAUCCCCAUCCUUUCAGUGUUGGUUUGUUUUUGUUUUAUUAUAAUUAUAUAAUAAAUAUUACACUUUCAUUUUAUAUACAGAAAUGUGAAUAUUUAAAUUUUAUUAUAAUAGAAUCUUUAAUAAAAUCAACAAAUAUAGUACACUGGAACAAAUACACCUAUCUCAGAAAACACAUUGAGGGCAGAAAGAAUAUUCACUUAUAAGUGCAAUCAGUGCCUUCAAUUAUAGUUGAGUUCCAAAGAUAUAAAAUGUAAAAUGUAACUAUAUCAUAUAUGAUGGUUUGCUUCCUGUGAAAUCCACUCAUUAAUACCUUAAAGGCCUUCCCGUGAUCCUGUUUAAUAAUAUAUUCUUAAAAGGGUGUUAUUCUCUGCAACACACAUUUUUAAUUCUGGAUAUUUAAAAAAACAAACUCAACAUUUUUCUUGGCAUUUUUUGCAAAUGAAUUGGAGUUCAUUCAGACAUUCAAUUCAGUAAAAACAAAAAACACAUACAUUUCUGCAGAGCCACAGUUGAAGAGCAUGGGCUUAGGAGAGCAGACCCCCGGGUCUGGUCCCAGUUCUCCUGCCCCUCCCCAGCUUACUGUGUCACCUUGGCUGUCCCAAGAUGUGAGUUCCUCCUUGGAGAUGCAGUUCACAGCCAGAGUGAUCGCUAAGCUUCCUCCCUGCAUUAAAAUUCUAUUAUUCUAAGUCUUUCUCACUUCUCUGGAAUUUCCUGUGAUAUGGAUGCUUGCAAUUAUUACACCUCUGACAAUUGAUGCCAAUAAAAAAGCAUCUACAACAUCGGACAAUGA
Molecule: long non-coding RNA, 2457 nt
Filed under: Homo sapiens (human)
Lineage: Eukaryota; Metazoa; Chordata; Mammalia; Primates; Hominidae
Description: HSALNT0273177
Source: RNAcentral